UCCGAUAUGGUGUACCGGUUAGCAUCACCCGCUUUCAUGCGCUCUAAACCGCUGAUCCGGGUAGAUCCGGGUUCGAUUCCCGGUAUCGGAA
Molecule: non-coding RNA, 91 nt
Organism: Dissoconium aciculare CBS 342.82
Lineage: Eukaryota; Fungi; Ascomycota; Dothideomycetes; Mycosphaerellales; Dissoconiaceae
Source: the annotation of a RefSeq genome assembly